RNAcentral lists this ribosomal RNA (599 nucleotides) under Altererythrobacter xiamenensis. Its description in RNAcentral is "bacterial SSU rRNA". It matches the Rfam family "Bacterial small subunit ribosomal RNA", at positions 104 to 738 of the family's 1533-position model. Lineage: Bacteria; Pseudomonadati; Pseudomonadota; Alphaproteobacteria; Sphingomonadales; Erythrobacteraceae. The record is from RNAcentral.
GGGUGCGUAACGCGUGGGAACCUGCCUUUAGGUUCGGAAUAACAGUGAGAAAUCGCUGCUAAUACCGGAUAAUGUCUUCGGACCAAAGAUUUAUCGCCUUUAGAUGGGCCCGCGUUAGAUUAGAUAGUUGGUGGGGUAAUGGCCUACCAAGUCGACGAUCUAUAGCUGGUCUGAGAGGAUGAUCAGCCACACUGGGACUGAGACACGGCCCAGACUCCUACGGGAGGCAGCAGUGGGGAAUAUUGGACAAUGGGCGAAAGCCUGAUCCAGCAAUGCCGCGUGAGUGAUGAAGGCCUUAGGGUUGUAAAGCUCUUUUACCAGGGAUGAUAAUGACAGUACCUGGAGAAUAAGCUCCGGCUAACUCCGUGCCAGCAGCCGCGGUAAUACGGAGGGAGCUAGCGUUGUUCGGAAUUACUGGGCGUAAAGCGCGCGUAGGCGGCUAUUUAAGUCAGGGGUGAAAUCCCGGGGCUCAACCCCGGAACUGCCUUUGAAACUGGAUGGCUAGAAUCCUGGAGAGGCGAGUGGAAUUCCGAGUGUAGAGGUGAAAUUCGUAGAUAUUCGGAAGAACACCAGUGGCGAAGGCGACUCGCUGGACAGGU